RNAcentral lists this microRNA precursor (103 nucleotides) under Marmota monax (woodchuck). Lineage: Eukaryota; Metazoa; Chordata; Mammalia; Rodentia; Sciuridae. The record is from RNAcentral.
AGUGGGAUAGCUGGGUCAAAUGGUGUAUCCAUGCCAAUAUUUUAAGGAAUCUCCAUACUGCUUUUCCAGAGUGGUUGAACCAAAUUGCAGUCCUACCAGCAAU